This is a long non-coding RNA of Gasterosteus aculeatus aculeatus (three-spined stickleback), 1077 nucleotides long. The record is from Ensembl. Lineage: Eukaryota; Metazoa; Chordata; Actinopteri; Perciformes; Gasterosteidae.
UAUGAACCAAUUUGUGUAACCUAAAUACAAAACGUUCAAGUCAUUAAUAAAUAACCUAAAAUUGAGCCAAAAUAAAUCAGUGCAGUUGAUUCAGUGACGGUGACAAAACCACUACUCAGCGGUGUCUAACACACCGACCGUAAGCAUAUUUGACACGCUGUACAUCUUUUCAAAAUGUUUCACCUUGAAGGGCAGCAAACCGUGAAAUGUGGGUCUUUGUCCCAUAGAUCAGUCUGUCUGUCUCUGUCUCUCUCUGGCUGGUGCGUUUAAACAGUGUCAGCCUGACGGAGGCUUUGGUGUUAACACUCCACUGUCUGCACAGCACACAUCCACUCAACUCCCACCCACAUACCUGAAGUCACAGUUUCUCUCUUUGUCAGCCCCACAUCCACUGUGUGUGUGUGUGUGUGUGUGAUUCCUGUGUGGGAGGACCGUCUUCAAACACCUCUACACUAUUGUGUUGUCGGCUCCAUCUAUCUUCUCCUUGUUUCCACUGUGCCCUUUAAUAGAGAGGAAGAGGAGACACGACAAGAGGCUAGUCGAGACCUUUAUCAACAGAGGGAUUUUCUGCUGCUGGUGUUCACUAACUAGAACGGUGUUCCCUGCUGCGCGACAGCUGCUGUAUCCCAUUCGUAGUACAAGCGGCUCAUUAUUUAUGCUUUCAAAGUCAGAGGUGCGAGGUGGAUCCAGCUCAGUCCGUUGGUAGGGACGUUAUGAGUAAGUUAGUAUCCAUGGAGGAUGUAGAUAGAAGCGUUAAAGGAAAACCUGCACUAAGUCCCCCACCCCCCUUUAUUUUACCACGCAUGUAGAGGUGUGCAUGUAAGUAGCUGUCAUCAUUAUGCAUUUAAGUGCAAUUUAACAUAACGUCAAUAUACACAGGGGCUGCAGUUAGAUUUGGGCAACAACACCACUGACAGGUUGAGGGAGAUCACAAACAUCACUAACAUCACUGAUGUAAAUCAAAACCCCGAUGUUUUGUUGUGUUUUUGUUUAAAUUAGCAACUGCAAUCUGAAAAAAAAGAAGAAACGUUGCUUGAGAAUGCUGUUUAGUUGGAUUCCAACUUAAUCUACUACCCA